This 332-nucleotide ribosomal RNA is filed under the name uncultured fungus. RNAcentral's name for it is "eukaryotic LSU rRNA". The stretch from base 1 to 72 matches the Rfam family "5.8S ribosomal RNA", at positions 84 to 154 of the family's 154-position model. The record is from RNAcentral. Lineage: Eukaryota; Fungi.
GUGAAUCAUCGAGUCUUUGAACGCACAUGGCACUCUCUAGGUCUUCUAGGGAGUAUACCUGUUUGAGAAUCAUAAAUAUAUAACUAGACUUGGUUAGAGUCUGACUUGAGGUUGUCACUGCUAGUUCAGUGUGCCUCUAAACAUGGAGGGACUAGGCUGUUAGCCUGGUAGACGUUGUGUGAUGCGAGGAAGUAUCCUCAAAGCGCAACGUGUCUAUCAGUGCGAGUCGGUCGCUCAUAGUUCCUAUACAUACACUUGUUUGUAUACUUUUGAAUGUGAUCUCAAAUCAGGCAAGACUACUCGCUGAACUUAAGCAUAUCAAUAAGGCGAGG